GAAAUGCGAUAAGUAAUGUGAAUUGCAGAAUUCAGUGAAUCAUCGAAUCUUUGAACGCACAUUGCGCCCGCCAGUAUUCUGGCGGGCAUGCCUGUCCGAGCGUCAUUUCAACCAUCAAGCCCCCGGGCUUGUGUUGGGGACCUGCGGCUGCCCGCAGGCCCUGAAAACCAGUGGCGAGCUCGCUGUCACACCGAGCGUAGUAGCAAUCACCUCGCUCAGGGCGUGCUGCGGGUUCCGGCCGUUAAACAGCCUUACAAAACCCAAGGUUGACCUCGGAUCAGGUAGGAAGACCCGCUGAACUUAAGC
This 306-nucleotide unclassified non-coding RNA is filed under the name plant metagenome. RNAcentral describes it as "partial contains 5.8S ribosomal RNA, internal transcribed spacer 2, and large subunit ribosomal RNA". The stretch from base 1 to 105 matches the Rfam family "5.8S ribosomal RNA", at positions 50 to 154 of the family's 154-position model. The record is from RNAcentral.